UAAUUAAAGCUAAUGUGGAGCGCCAGCAGGUAGCCUAGUGGUUAGAGUGUAGGGUUAGCAGGUAGCCUAGUGGUUAGAGUGUAGGGUUAGCAGGUAGCCUAGUGGUUAGAGUGUGGUUAGAGUGUAGCGUCAGCAGGUAGCCUAGUGGUUAGAGUGUAGGGUCAGCAGGUAGCCUAGUGGUUAGAGUGUAGGGUUAGCAGGUAGCCUAGUGGUUAGAGUGUAGGGUCAGCAGGUAGCCUAGUGGUUAGAGUGUAGGGUCAGCAGGUAGCCUAGUGGUUAGAGUGUAGGGUCGGGAGGUAGCCUAGUGGUUAGAGUGUAGGGUCAGCAGGUAGCUUAGUGGUUAGAGUGUAGGGGCGGCAGGAAGCCUAGUGGUUAGAGUGUAGGGGAGACAGGUAGCCUAGUGGUUAGAGUGUAGGGGCGGCAGGUAGCCUAGUGGUUAGAGUGUAGGGUCGGCAGGUAGCCUAGUGUUUAGAGUGUAGGGUCGGCAGGUAGCUUAGUGGUUAGAGUGCAGGGACGGCAGGUAGCCUAGUGGUUAGAGUGUAGGGUCGGCAGGUAGCCUAGUGGUUAGUCAUCCCUACCGCCUCUAUCAAUAUAACAUGUUGUCAUCCCUACCACCUCUAUCAAUAUAACAUGUUGUCAUCC
This is a long non-coding RNA of Oncorhynchus tshawytscha (Chinook salmon), 642 nucleotides long. Lineage: Eukaryota; Metazoa; Chordata; Actinopteri; Salmoniformes; Salmonidae. The record is from Ensembl.